Molecule: ribosomal RNA, 3146 nt
Filed under: Triticum aestivum (bread wheat)
Lineage: Eukaryota; Viridiplantae; Streptophyta; Magnoliopsida; Poales; Poaceae
Description: partial small subunit ribosomal RNA
Source: RNAcentral
CUUUGAUGCUUUGUUAUGCUUCUCAGAUCUGUUUGUUAGUUAUGUGUAGAGAUUUUGCGGUCAGUACUGUUGUUUACUCCCCCUUUGUUAGCUUCGUGUGUUGAUCCCCCCGCAGCUAUUCAUGUAUUUGUAUUCGAUUGUCUUGUUUGUGGGAUUGAAAUCCGCCUGCUAUGUGUGCUAGUUCCCCAGUAGGAGUGAUUUGAUUUGUUAUUGGGUUAGUUGGUGGGAGUUAAUUUGAUUAGGCUGUCUCGUUUAGUUGUAGUAGUUUGUGUAAAUGCUCAAUUCGAAGAUGCUAGAUCAUGUUCAGUCCCCUGGUCGUUUGGAUUGUCAUGCGGUUUUUUGUGUGUGGAUAUAGGUUGUAUAUACCCUGGGCCAUUUAGUUUUGUGCUGUUGCUCUGAAUUCAUGUUCCAUUUUGUAUAGAGUUGCAGGUAGUGUCAGUGUUGUGUUUGAAUAUUCAGAAAACAAACAUAGCUUGGAGUCUCAGUCCUAUUUUCAGGCAUGGUUGUUUGCAGUGUAUAUUUUUAGUGUAAACCUCACUUAGUCAUUACUUACAGUGUUUUUUACACUGUUAGUAAGUGGUUUUAAUGUGUGUGUUUUUAGUGUGUCAUCAGUGCUUUUUUUUCUUGUAUUCCAAGCAUAAUCUUGUCUCAAUGUUAAGAGUGCUCCAGAGUGUUUUUUUUUUAAUUUCAGCAUGGUCUUUGUGUAAAUGUGAGAGUGCUCCAGAGUGUUUUUUUUUCUUUCAUUGAAAUUACUUUGUGUAUCGCAGUGUAAUUUUAGUGUUUAUUUACUGCAACUUGUUAGUGAACUCGCGGUGUAAAUGUUAGUGUAAUUUUAGUGUUAUCAAUAGUGGAAUUAUAGUGUCAAAUCUCAGUGGAAUUUUAGUGUUAUUUACUAUAUUUUUGUCAGUAAAACUACAAUGCAAAAUGUAGUGUAAAUUUAGUGUUAUUUACUAAUCCCUCUGUCCCAAAAUAAGUGUCUUUGAUUUAGUACAAAUUUAGUUCAAAGUUGUACAAAAUCAAAGACACCUAUUUUGGGACGGAGGGAGUAUCUUCCAAGUGAAAUUAUGGUGCGAAUCUUAGUGGAAUUUUAGGUUAACUACUCUUUCUCAUUUGUGAAUUUUACACUGUAAUUCAUAGUCGAUUCUUUAGUGUAAUUACUCCAUCUUAUCAUUGAAUUUACUCUGUGAUUUGUAGAGGAUAUCUUAGUGUAAUUAGUAUAUCUUAUUAGUGUAAUUACCUGUAGUGUAGUUUUACUCUAGCUCUAUGAUUUUGAUUUACACUGUAAAUCCUACUGGAAUUUUAGUGUGGUAUCACCGUAAUUUUUUAGUGUAUUUACUUUGUCAUGUCUUUUGAAUUUAUACUGUAAUUCAUAGGGCAUUUUUUAGUGCACUUUACUCUAUCUUAUCAGUGAUUUUACACUGUAAAUCUUAGUGGACUUGUAUUAUAAUUAAUUAUUUUAUCAUUAAAUUUACACUGUAAAUCAUAGUGUAAUUUUAGUGUGAUGUUCACUGUAAUUAUAGUGUGUGUUUUUGUGGUCUUUUGCUAUUAUGCUAGAGCUAUGCUUUGUCUUGGGUUGCAACUGCUAGUCGUUUUAGUUCAUUCUUGUUUUGCUUAUUCGUAUUCUGUUGUUGUCAUGCUUUUUGUGCUAAUGAGUUUUUGAUAUUUUGCAGGGUGUGUGGAAAGUUGCCUGAUAAUUUUUGUUAGUCCUACUUUUCCCAUGUUGUCUAUGUUGGGUAACAAACUAUCCCUUUAGAUACUAUAUUUUUCUUUGGCGGGCGCGGAGGGGGGGGGGGGUGUCAAUGUUUUACAGUGAUAUGUUCUUCGGUUUGUAGGCGUUUAUGUGUUAGGAAGAGGGAGUUGCAUGUCAGUUCAAAUUCUUAGGGAAAUUUACAGUAGAAUUACACUGUAAACCUAUUGUAAAUAACAUUCUAAUUCAACUAUAAUACUAUUGUAUUUAUACUCUAAAUCUAAUGUAAAAUGUCACUAGGAUUCAGCUGUACUUAUAUUGUAUUUACACUGUAAUUCUAGUGUAAACUAAAAUGUAAAUCUACUGUAAUUACUGUCAAACUCACUGCCCAUUUGCUCUAUAAUACUAUUGUAUUUUACACUGUAGUUCUACUAUAAAAUACAUUGUAUUUACACUGCAGUUCCAGUGGUUUAGCACUGGAAUUACAAUUUGCUUACACUGUAAUUCCAGUGGUGUAGCUAUGUAAUUCAAACUGUAAUUACAAAGGAUUUUUCACACUGGUCCACUACUGUAAUUGCAGUUUGUCUGCCAUUGUAAAUUCCUUGUCUGCGAGUGUAAUUUAAUUUGACAGCAGGUUCUUUUUCUGUUCCUCUGUAACUACAAUGUAAAAACACUUGUUAGAUUUUUCUUUUGUGUAGGAUUUACUCGUCUGUAUAUGUUGUAACAUCCAGUGAACUAGUGAAUGCUAGUUCUUAUUGGUUUCUCUGCUGAUCUCUGGAUUUUAAGUUUAUAACUAGAGUACUCUGUGGAUUGUGAUCUGUUCUUUCUCUUUGGUAGACACCCGCUGCUCAAAGUAGAACAAUAUUUUUUGCAUUAACUAAUGAAAAUUUUCGCAGGAUUUCUGUCCCUGUUGUUUUAUAUGUAAUUUUCACAAUGAUAGUACCUUGUACAUCAUUUGCGCCUGAAGUAGAUGAGUAAAAGAGUAUGCCCCCUAUUUUGUCAAGAAUCAAGUUAGAAAAGCAUGAUUGAAUAUGUUUGUUCAUUUUUUCCAGGUUUUUUAAUGCUAUACUAAAGUCAAACAUUAAGGAAAUCAGCUUUGUCAUGUUCGAGAAGAAGAGGGUGUUUAGCUGUGAAUCCUGUGCCUCUUCAGCCAUGAUCUUCUUCAAGCUUGUCUCCCAGAUCGUGGAGGAAACGCCAUCACUUUUUGCUUUUCUGUCCGGGUUGGAAAAGGACGGGGGUUGGACCCGUUAAGUUCCUAUUUGACCUGUGCGGCUUGUUUAAAAGUGGGACAGGAAAAUGGACAUACAGGAUACAAGGGACAGUGAACAGUUGUCACAUUCUAGAUUGCUGAAAAAUCCGGCUGAAACCCAAUUGGUUUUCAGCCGGAUGUCAAUUAGACAGUCCCUAGAUUAAACAUCUCACACAAGUUUACCAAAUUCCACGGAAAUAUAAAGUCAGC